CGGGCUGGGAUCCGCGCGGGGAUCCGGCCGGUGCCUGCCCUGCGAUCCGCGCGGGAUUUACCGCUGCUCCGCCCGGGCUCUGCUCCCGAUCUGCCCGGAAUGUGCCCGGUGUCUGUGGGGGAUCCCCGGGGAUGUGCCCGCAAGAAAGGAGAUCCGACCGUGGGGCAGGCAGCAGUCAGCAUCCCUUACUCAAGGAGAUCCUGGAAAUAAUGAGCAUUAAGAUGUAAUAAAUUUGGAUUUUGGUCCGAA
Molecule: long non-coding RNA, 249 nt
Organism: Passer domesticus (house sparrow)
Lineage: Eukaryota; Metazoa; Chordata; Aves; Passeriformes; Passeridae
Exons: 2
Source: RefSeq, a predicted model, not a curated record